RNAcentral lists this ribosomal RNA (492 nucleotides) under uncultured bacterium. RNAcentral's name for it is "bacterial SSU rRNA". It matches the Rfam family "Bacterial small subunit ribosomal RNA", at positions 8 to 526 of the family's 1533-position model. The record is from RNAcentral.
AGAGUUUGAUCAUGGCUCAGAACGAACGCUGGCGGCAGGCUUAACACAUGCAAGUCGAACGCACUCUUCGGAGUGAGUGGCGCACGGGUGAGUAACGCGUGGGAACGUACCAUUUGGUAGGGAAUAGCUCCGGGAAACUGGAAUUAAUACCCUAUACGCCCUGAGGGGGAAAGAUUUAUCGCCAAAUGAUCGGCCCGCGUGAGAUUAGCUAGUUGGUGAGGUAAUGGCUCACCAAGGCGACGAUCAUUAGGGGUACUGAGAGGUUAAACCCCCACACUGGUACUGAGACACGGACCAGACUCCUACGGGAGGCAGCAGUAAGGAAUAUUGGACAAUGGCCGCAAGGCUGAGCCAGCCAGGCCGCGUGCAGGAUGAAGGUGCUAUGCAUUGUAAACUGCUUUUGUAACAGAGAAAACCCAGGUACGUGUACCUGGCUGAUAGUAUGUUAAGAAUAAGCAUCGGCUAACUUCGUGCCAGCCGCCGCGGUAAUUC